RNAcentral lists this non-coding RNA (30 nucleotides) under Cricetulus griseus (Chinese hamster). Lineage: Eukaryota; Metazoa; Chordata; Mammalia; Rodentia; Cricetidae. The record is from RNAcentral.
CACGAUGAUGACAAUCUUUCAGAGCUGAGA